Molecule: long non-coding RNA, 2823 nt
Filed under: Bemisia tabaci
Lineage: Eukaryota; Metazoa; Arthropoda; Insecta; Hemiptera; Aleyrodidae
Description: lncRNA ENSSSA2NGG012788
Source: RNAcentral
CCCAUCAUAUGUAUCUAUGUUUGGCAACAAACCAUUUAACCAUAACCUAAUUUGUUUAUUCCUUCGGUAGCCAGGUGACGAUCGUUAAAAUUCUAGUGUUGAAAAGUUUUCCGUCUACAGAACAAAAUUUUUAGUGAAUAGUGAGAUAAAAUAUCAGUGUCGAUAUGUCUUCUAUAGGAUCCACUAGUGACGACGAAGAACCACGUGUUUCUGACGAUGAAGCCUUCAGUGGCGAACCGGCGUCGGCAGUUGCCGGGUAUACAGGAAAAGUGAAUGUAUUUCUUCAAACCAUGUCAGAUUUCCAACGACGCGACGGGACUGCGCACCAGUAGACAGACAAGGAAUGGACAUGCUGAGCUAUAUUCCACCAUCCCCCGCCGGAACGGAUCAUUGUAUCACUGUCACAGACGCAACGACGAAAACGAGUCCAGAACACUUCUGAAAUUAUUAGCUCCCGGACAAGAUGCCGAAACUCAAGUAGUAGGGCUGCAGGACCUGCUAUCACCACUACCGCCGCCGCCAGCCCAGCCUUACCACUCAACCAACCAGUAUCCCGCGCUAUUUUCGUAGCAGCGGCUCUAGAUGGUGCGUUCAAUGACAAGGGAACACAGCUCAUUAAAUACACCGAUGAGCAAAUAAACAAGAGCAUAAUGGCCUGGCUGAAUUACAGCCAACCAAGAAUUAAGAGGGUAAAAGAGCUCAUCACUAUUCCUUUUUGUCAAGUUGUUAGGAUUCUUCUCGUCACCAUUAUAACUGUGUCCUUCAGAUUGGAGAGGAUACAACAGAAAAAUUCAGGGAAGAUGGCUGAGAGACAAGACAUCCAAGGUCAUUUAAGCGAUAAAAUUUGCUGAAUCAUAAUCUUCAGUUUCAGCUUAAAUUUAAAACUGUAUGCCUCCCUCCCUUCUUUCAUAAAUACAUGUUGCAACACCACCAGUUAAAAGGAUUACUCAUGGUGGUCAUUUCUCCCGUAAAACCACGCUCUUAAUUUGAAUCUGAGAACCAUAAAGUGUCUAAUUCCCACAAGCUGUACAGUCAGAUCAUUAAAUUCAUAAAAUAUUUAAACGUUUUUAAAAUUAAAGUAAUUUAUCUCGUGAACUUCUCUGUUUCUAAAAAAAAUCCGAAGGUGGGGAGGGUUAAGUUAUUAAACUAAUAAGCCUCAAAAUUGAAAGGCUGAUGAGAAAAAAAUACAUUUUCAGGCCCAGCAGGUUGUACGCAUGAAUUUUUGUCUGCUUUGUUUUUCAACCCUAAAUUUUUCUUAAUAAAAGCUGUAUUGAAAGCUCAGCUUGUUCAUCUCUCUUGAUGCACAAAAUUGAAAUCGUCACGAGGUUCGAAAGAUGGGCAUUGCCGAACGAAGUGUUACUAAAAAAUAUUUUCUGUUUGACCUGAUUAUCAUACCCACCGUCUCAUAUAAUAUCCUCUAAUUUAUGUUUCAUCUGUAUGCAACAGAAGGAAGAUUCUAAAAGAGGCAACAAGAGAAAAACCGUUUGAAACAGCCGGUAUACGGUUAGUCUUGUCUGAAUCGGAAGAAGAACUGGUCCUCCCAAAUUCCAGCGAGAAUGAUGUUUGAUUCAUUUUAAUAUGUUGCUUUUUUGACUUUGUAUUUUCUGGUUAUUCUUAUUUGUAUAACUUAUUUUUACAAUUAUUUGUAUAUUCUAUUUGUAUUUUUUGAACAGAGAACAAAAAAAUUAAAGGAAUUUAAGGAUUUACAUUUAAAACAAGGUCUUGAUUCAUUUUUUCCUUCCUGUAAGUCUUUUUGGAUCAAGCUUCAAUUCGCAUCUUUUCCUUUUGUAUUGCCUGUAAAAGUAUUAUACCUGUAUCCACAUCAAGGCAAGGCAUGUCCACAGCACAUACACAGAGAACCGGAAGUGGGUCCCGAACCGCUUGCCGCCACCACGCCGCUGAUUCAAAGCGCACCCCAGAAGCAACCGUCGCCGAUUCAAACAUUAGGUAUGAACAUAUGAAAUGUCAUAUUAAAUCUAAAUGUAUAAGUACCUAUAAAAAUAUAUAUAAUAUAUGUUUUAAAAAAUAUAUAUAAUAUAUUGUUUUAAAAAUACAUAAGAAACCGUGAACUGAACGGCCGAACGGGGAAUGAAGGUGGCUUGUAAAGACUCCAUGUUACAACAUUCCUUUUGUCCCUUUGUUGCAGGUAUUCCGCGGCUUACGCAAGACGAAAUGACGCAGAUUGCGGCAACUGUUGUAAGUAUGUUAUCCCUAAAGGAGCCCGACCGCAUUACAGAGAGUGGUCCGGAGAACACAAGAGCAUCGGAAAAAGCGAGAGGAAAGCGAAACUUAGCCGCUGCAUUGGGGAAUCUAGAGCUGGAUGGAUAAAUCGUCAGUUGCCACGGCAGCCCGAUGAGGGGACGUCGCGUUCAACCUUUUCUCCUCCUCCUCCACGCAUUGACCCCCUGGUUCAACCGGUGGCAGAAUUAGAGGACAACACGGAUUCCGACGACUCUGAAGCCACGGUGAGAUACACGGAAGGACCCCUGCCGACAGAGACCAGUACCCACAGUAUUGCAAGUGCAGAGACAGAACAGUACGACGAAUCGCUCUCGCAACAAUCAUUGUUUCAAGACAGCCAGUCCAACCUUUUUAUGCAAACGACAAAGGGUCCUCCUCCUGCAGAUGAAGGAGUUCCUGUCUUUGAAAGCGGCGUUUCAACGAAAGUAUCAGGCCUCCUAUAAGGCCAAUCCGCCAACGCUGCACCCCAACUCCAAAGCGGGGCGCCCACAAGUUCUGCCGCCGUAAAAGUACCAAGCCCAGGACCAUCAAGUGACGUAUUUUGAACAAAUCUUUCAAAAAUAUUUUUUCCCCUUUUUUGUG